This is a non-coding RNA of Rhagoletis zephyria (snowberry fruit fly), 73 nucleotides long. The record is from the annotation of a RefSeq genome assembly. Lineage: Eukaryota; Metazoa; Arthropoda; Insecta; Diptera; Tephritidae.
GGGAGUAUGGCCUAAUGGAUAAGGCGCUUGACUUCGAAUCAAGAGUAUAUGGGUUCGAUCCCCAUUACUCCCU